UACAGAGGGUGCAAGCGUUAAUCGGAAUUACUGGGCGUAAAGGGCGCGUAGGUGGUUUAUUAAGUCAGAUGUGAAAUCCCUGGGCUUAACCUAGGAAUUGCAUUUGAAACUGAUUGGCUAGAGUAUGGGAGAGGGAAGUGGAAUUUCCAGUGUAGCGGUGAAAUGCGUAGAUAUUGGAAGGAACACCAGUGGCGAAGGCGACUUCCUGGACCAUUACUGACACUGAGGCGCGAAAGCGUGGGGAGCGAACAGG
This 253-nucleotide ribosomal RNA is filed under the name uncultured bacterium. RNAcentral describes it as "partial 16S ribosomal RNA". It matches the Rfam family "Bacterial small subunit ribosomal RNA", at positions 524 to 776 of the family's 1533-position model. The record is from RNAcentral.